CAGCCGCCGCGGUAAUACGUAGGGGGCAAGCGUUGUCCGGAUUCAUUGGGCGUAAAGAGCUCGUAGGCGGUUCAGUAAGUCGGGUGUGAAAGCUCCAAGCUCAACUUGGAGACGCCAUCCGAUACUGCUGUGACUUGAGUACAGUAGGGGAGCGUGGAAUUCCUGGUGUAGCGGUGAAAUGCGCAGAUAUCAGGAGGAACACCAGCGGCGAAGGCGGCGCUCUGGGCUGUAACUGACGCUGAGGAGCGAAAGUGUGGGUAGCAAACAGGAUUAGAUACCCUGGUAGUCCACACCGUAAACGUUGGGCACUAGGUGUGGGGAGGAAUCAACCCUCUCCGUGCCGUAGCUAACGCAUUAAGUGCCCCGCCUGGGGAGUACGGUCGCAAGACUAAAACUCAAAGGAAUUGACGGGGGCCCGCACAAGCGGCGGAGCAUGUUGCUUAAUUCGAGGCAACGCGAAGAACCUUACCUAGGUUGAACUACGCAGGAAAAGCCACAGAGAUGUGGUGUCCUUCGGGGCCUGCGAUAGGUGGUGCAUGGCC
RNAcentral lists this ribosomal RNA (542 nucleotides) under uncultured archaeon. RNAcentral's name for it is "bacterial SSU rRNA". It matches the Rfam family "Bacterial small subunit ribosomal RNA", at positions 509 to 1050 of the family's 1533-position model. The record is from RNAcentral.